AUUGAACGCUGGCGGCAGGCUUAACACAUGCAAGUCGAACGAGCGGCGGACGGGUGAGUAAUGUCUGGGAAACUGCCUGAUGGAGGGGGAUACCUACUGGAAACGGUAGCUAAUACCGCAUACCAUCAGAUGUGCCCCGAUGGGAUUAGCUAGGGGGUGGGGUAAUGGCUCACCUAGGCGACGAUCCCUCGCUGGUCUGAGAGGAUGACCAGCAACACUUGAACUGAGCCAGGGUCCGGACUCCUACGGGAGGCAGCAGUGGGGAAUAUUGCACAAUGGGCGCAAGCCUGAUGCAGCCAUGCCGCGUGUGUGAAUAAGGCCUUCGGGUUGUAAAGUACUUUCAGCGAGGAGGCGUUACUCGCAGAAUAAGCACCGGCUAACUCCGUGCCAGCAGCCGCGGUAAUUC
This 406-nucleotide ribosomal RNA is filed under the name uncultured bacterium. RNAcentral's name for it is "partial 16S ribosomal RNA". It matches the Rfam family "Bacterial small subunit ribosomal RNA", at positions 30 to 526 of the family's 1533-position model. The record is from RNAcentral.